This 894-nucleotide ribosomal RNA is filed under the name uncultured bacterium. Its description in RNAcentral is "bacterial SSU rRNA". It matches the Rfam family "Bacterial small subunit ribosomal RNA", at positions 566 to 1453 of the family's 1533-position model. The record is from RNAcentral.
AGCUCGUAGGCGGUUUGUCGCGUCUGCCGUGAAAGUCCGGGGCUCAACUCCGGAUCUGCGGUGGGUACGGGCAGACUAGAGUGAUGUAGGGGAGACUGGAAUUCCUGGUGUAGCGGUGAAACGCGCAGAUAUCAGGAGGAACACCGAUGGCGAAGGCAGGUCUCUGGGCAUUAACUGACGCUGAGGAGCGAAAGCAUGGGGAGCGAACAGGAUUAGAUACCCUGGUAGUCCAUGCCGUAAACGUUGGGCACUAGGUGUGGGGGACAUUCCACGUUUUCCGCGCCGUAGCUAACGCAUUAAGUGCCCCGCCUGGGGAGUACGGCCGCAAGGCUAAAACUCAAAGGAAUUGACGGGGGCCCGCACAAGCGGCGGAGCAUGCGGAUUAAUUCGAUGCAACGCGAAGAACCUUACCAAGGCUUGACAUGAACCGGACCGCUGCAGAAAUGUGGUUUCCCCUUUGGGGCUGGUUUACGGGUGGUGCAUGGUUGUCGUCAGCUCGUGUCGUGAGAUGUUGGGUUAAGUCCCGCAACGAGCGCAACCCUCGUUCUAUGUUGCCAGCACGUGAUGGUGGGGACUCAUAGGAGACUGCCGGGGUCAACUCGGAGGAAGGUGGGGACGACGUCAAAUCACCAUGCCCCUUAUGUCUUGGGCUUCACGCAUGCUACAAUGGCCGGUACAAAGGGUUGCGAUACUGUGAGGUGGAGCUAAUCCCAAAAAGCCGGUCUCAGUUCGGAUUGGGGUCUGCAACUCGACCCCAUGAAGUCGGAGUCGCUAGUAAUCGCAGAUCAGCAACGCUGCGGUGAAUACGUUCCCGGGCCUUGUACACACCGCCCGUCAAGUCACGAAAGUUGGUAACACCCGAAGCCGGUGGCCUAACCCCUUGUGGGAGGGAGC